This 327-nucleotide ribosomal RNA is filed under the name uncultured Bacteroidota bacterium. Its description in RNAcentral is "bacterial SSU rRNA". It matches the Rfam family "Bacterial small subunit ribosomal RNA", at positions 28 to 351 of the family's 1533-position model. The record is from RNAcentral. Lineage: Bacteria; Pseudomonadati; Bacteroidota.
GAUGAACGCUAGCGGGAGGCUUAACACAUGCAAGUCGAGGGGCAGCACGAGGUAGCAAUACUUUGGUGGCGACCGGCGCACGGGUGAGUAACGCGUAUGUAACCUACCCUUUACAGGGGAUAGCCCGGAGAAAUUCGGAUUAAUACCCCAUAAUAAUAUUGGAAGGCAUCUUUUGAUAUUUAAAGCUUCGGCGGUAUAGGAUGGGCAUGCGUGACAUUAGCUAGUUGGUAGGGUAACGGCCUACCAAGGCUACGAUGUCUAGGGGUCCUGAGAGGGUGAUCCCCCACACUGGUACUGAGACACGGACCAGACACCUACGGGUGGCAG